RNAcentral lists this ribosomal RNA (1421 nucleotides) under Staphylococcus aureus. Its description in RNAcentral is "bacterial SSU rRNA". It matches the Rfam family "Bacterial small subunit ribosomal RNA". Lineage: Bacteria; Bacillati; Bacillota; Bacilli; Caryophanales; Staphylococcaceae. The record is from RNAcentral.
AAGACUGGGAUAACUUCGGGAAACCGGAGCUAAUACCGGAUAAUAUUUUGAACCGCAUGGUUCAAAAGUGAAAGACGGUCUUGCUGUCACUUAUAGAUGGAUCCGCGCUGCAUUAGCUAGUUGGUAAGGUAACGGCUUACCAAGGCAACGAUGCAUAGCCGACCUGAGAGGGUGAUCGGCCACACUGGAACUGAGACACGGUCCAGACUCCUACGGGAGGCAGCAGUAGGGAAUCUUCCGCAAUGGGCGAAAGCCUGACGGAGCAACGCCGCGUGAGUGAUGAAGGUCUUCGGAUCGUAAAACUCUGUUAUUAGGGAAGAACAUAUGUGUAAGUAACUGUGCACAUCUUGACGGUACCUAAUCAGAAAGCCACGGCUAACUACGUGCCAGCAGCCGCGGUAAUACGUAGGUGGCAAGUGUUAUCCGGAAUUAUUGGGCGUAAAGCGCGCGUAGGCGGUUUUUUAAGUCUGAUGUGAAAGCCCACGGCUCAACCGUGGAGGGUCAUUGGAAACUGGAAAACUUGAGUGCAGAAGAGGAAAGUGGAAUUCCAUGUGUAGCGGUGAAAUGCGCAGAGAUAUGGAGGAACACCAGUGGCGAAGGCGACUUUCUGGUCUGUAACUGACGCUGAUGUGCGAAAGCGUGGGGAUCAAACAGGAUUAGAUACCCUGGUAGUCCACGCCGUAAACGAUGAGUGCUAAGUGUUAGGGGGUUUCCGCCCCUUAGUGCUGCAGCUAACGCAUUAAGCACUCCGCCUGGGGAGUACGACCGCAAGGUUGAAACUCAAAGGAAUUGACGGGGACCCGCACAAGCGGUGGAGCAUGUGGUUUAAUUCGAAGCAACGCGAAGAACCUUACCAAAUCUUGACAUCCUUUGACAACUCUAGAGAUAGAGCUUUCCCCUUCGGGGGACAAAGUGACAGGUGGUGCAUGGUUGUCGUCAGCUCGUGUCGUGAGAUGUUGGGUUAAGUCCCGCAACGAGCGCAACCCUUAAGCUUAGUUGCCAUCAUUAAGUUGGGCACUCUAAGUUGACUGCCGGUGACAAACCGGAGGAAGGUGGGGAUGACGUCAAAUCAUCAUGCCCCUUAUGAUUUGGGCUACACACGUGCUACAAUGGACAAUACAAAGGGCAGCGAAACCGUGAGGUCAAGCAAAUCCCAUAAAGUUGUUCUCAGUUCGGAUUGUAGUCUGCAACUCGACUACAUGAAGCUGGAAUCGCUAGUAAUCGUAGAUCAGCAUGCUACGGUGAAUACGUUCCCGGGUCUUGUACACACCGCCCGUCACACCACGAGAGUUUGUAACACCCGAAGCCGGUGGAGUAACCUUUUAGGAGCUAGCCGUCGAAGGUGGGACAAAUGAUUGGGGUGAAGUCGUAACAAGGUAGCCGUAUCGGAAGGUGCGGCUGGAUCACCUCCUUUCUAAGGA